GUGAGUACAGCUCAGUAGUAGAGAGCUUGCUUAGCAUGUAUGAGGUCCUGGGUUCCAUCCCCAGUACCCCCA
RNAcentral lists this transfer RNA (72 nucleotides) under Camelus bactrianus (Bactrian camel). It matches the Rfam family "tRNA". From Rfam's summary of the family: Transfer RNA (tRNA) molecules are approximately 80 nucleotides in length. Their secondary structure includes four short double-helical elements and three loops (D, anti-codon, and T loops). Further hydrogen bonds mediate the characteristic L-shaped molecular structure. tRNAs have two regions of fundamental functional importance: the anti-codon, which is responsible for specific mRNA codon recognition, and the 3' end, to which the tRNAs corresponding amino acid is attached (by aminoacyl-tRNA synthetases). tRNAs cope with the degeneracy of the genetic code in two manners: having more than one tRNA (with a specific anti-codon) for a particular amino acid; and 'wobble' base-pairing, i.e. permitting non-standard base-pairing at the 3rd anti-codon position. Lineage: Eukaryota; Metazoa; Chordata; Mammalia; Artiodactyla; Camelidae. The record is from Rfam by way of RNAcentral. RNAcentral also lists the same sequence under 1 other name.